RNAcentral lists this ribosomal RNA (524 nucleotides) under Lysmata hochi. RNAcentral's name for it is "partial 16S ribosomal RNA". It matches the Rfam family "Bacterial large subunit ribosomal RNA", at positions 1844 to 2625 of the family's 2925-position model. Lineage: Eukaryota; Metazoa; Arthropoda; Malacostraca; Decapoda; Hippolytidae. The record is from RNAcentral.
GAUAUGUAGUCUGGCCUGCCCACUGAGUAGUUAAAGGGCCGCGGUAUUUUGACCGUGCAAAGGUAGCAUAAUCAAAUGUUUCUUAAUUGGAAACCGGAAUGAACGGUCGGACGAGAAGUAAGCUGUCUCUUUAAUAAAGCUUGAAUUUUACUUUUAAGUGAAAAGGCUUAAAUAACGUAAGAAGACGAUAAGACCCUAUAAAACUUUACAAGCUGUAAAAGUGUAUCUUAAUUUAAGGUGUAACAGGGCAUUUGUAUAGAUUGUUUUGCUGGGGCGGCAGAGAUAAAAUGAGUAACUGUUUUUAGUGUGAAAAUAUUGAUGUAUAGAAAGUAUGAUCCUGUAUUAUGGAUUAAAAGAGUAAGUUACUUUAGGGAUAACAGCGUAAUUUCUCUUGAGAGUUCUGAUCGACAGAGUAAGUUGCGACCUCGAUGUUGAAUUAAGGUGUUAUCCAGGUGCAGCAGCUUGGAUAGUAGGUCUGUUCGACCUUUAAAACCCUACAUGAUUUGAGUUCAGACCGGCGUGAG